GAUGAAAGAACGUAGCGAAAUGCGAUAAGUAAUGUGAAUUGCAGAAUUCAGUGAAUCAUCGAAUCUUUGAACGCACCUUGCGCUCCUUGGUAUUCCGAGGAGCAUGCCUGUUUGAGUGUCAGUAAAUUCUCAAUCCCCUCUAGCUUUUUGUAGUUGGGACUUGGAUAGUGGAGGUAUUUGCAGGCCCUCUUUGGGGUGUCAGCUCCUCUGAAAUGCAUUAGCAGAACUGUUUGCGAUUCAUUACAGAUGUGAUAAUUAUCUACAUCCAGUGGGUUGCUUUCUGAAUGUUCAGCUGCUAAUUGUCUUAUCCGUGAGACAACUUUUGAACCUUUGACCUCAAAUCAGGUAGGACUACCCGCUGAACUUAAGCAUAUCAAUAAGCGGAGGA
RNAcentral lists this unclassified non-coding RNA (388 nucleotides) under soil metagenome. RNAcentral describes it as "partial contains 5.8S ribosomal RNA, internal transcribed spacer 2, and large subunit ribosomal RNA". The stretch from base 6 to 121 matches the Rfam family "5.8S ribosomal RNA", at positions 39 to 154 of the family's 154-position model. The record is from RNAcentral.